CAUAAAACCUAAGCAUAUACCACAUGCAAAGCUCUAUGUUACAUAAGGGAUGAAGAAGGCUGUGGUAGACCUUCUGUGGCCACAAAUUUGGUAUUUAUCUGGUGUCUGUAUUCACAUAGUACCCUCAAUUCACUUUUGCUAUGUCCUCUUUCUGUUCCUGAAUCUCCACUACAGUGUGGGAAUAUAGGCAUUGCCCUGAUACCCAGAGCUUUCAAGCAUCUUUGCAAAGUCUUCCCAUCAAUGUGGAAUGUCGUUUUGGCCCCAUCUUCUCUCUCCCUGAAUCUAGUUUGCAGCAAUUGAAUGGUCCCCUGGUGAUUCACUGGGUGCUAUUUCGUUUGUUCCGUCAGCUGUUUAUUAAUCUGUAACUUCCUGUUAAAAUGCAGGGUGUGCUUUUUUAAGAAGCCUUACACAGCAUAAGUUUUAUUUUGGGACCGGACACACUAUUAUAUAAAGAGGAUCUGUGAGUGUUACUUGGUCUCAUAAGCUAUUUUUUUUUUUUUUCAACAAAAUGUUGUGAGCACCUACCGUGUGCCAGGCAGUGUUCUGUGAACUGGUUGUACAGGAGUGAACGAGAUCACCUUAAUUUUGAGAAGUUUAUCAUCUACUCAAGGGAAACACGUGUAAUAAACUACAUUUCAGACAUAAUCCCUCAAAACCAAAGUGGAACCUCUUCAAGGAGCUGGCAGAUGCAAGCCUGAUUAAUUUCUUCACCUUCCUCUCCCAGCAACAGCCAUUAUCAAGAAUCUGGUAUGUAUUCCUUUAUGUUUUUGUACUCUUCCUACAUGUAUAUGUAUGUAAAAGAAUACAUAGUUAUGCCUUGCAUAUUUAAAAUUUUUAUCUAAUGCUGUCAUGUUGCACAUGUUCUUCCACUCUCUGUCUCCUUCAAUAUUAUUUUUUAAAAAUCUAUUCAUAUUAAUACAUACAGAUGCAGUUCACCUGUUUUAACUAUUGACUGUGCUCUAUCAUAUGAAAAUAUCACAGUUUAUUCAUCUAUCCUGUUACAAUGAAGAUUCAGGUUGUUUCUAAUUUUUGCUAAUACAAAUGAUGUUGUAAUAAGCUUAGAGAUAUGUCUCAGUAUGUAAAGUUACUACACCUAGAAUUGAAAUGAAUGGGUUGCAGAGAAUGCUCAUUUUCUACUUUAGUAAUAUUGAUAAAUUGUUGUUCCAAUUUACACUCCUUCCAGAAAUACAUGAAAAUUUCUCAUUUCCAUAUCCUUGUCAAUUCUUGAUAUCACCAGACUUUUAAAGUGCAGCCAAAUUUAGGGUAUGAAAUGUUACCUUGUUUUAACUUUCAUUUCCCAGACUACUAGUUAGAUUGGUCAUUGUGUUAGUGUACAAGCUAAGCAGCUGUAACAAAGAGACCUCCAGACAUAGUAAUCUAGGCAAGAAUUUAAAUAAAAGAGAUAUUUUUCUUACUUAAUCUUAUGUUGGACAGUCCAGGCUGGCAAGAGGGCUCUGCUCCACACAGUCACUCAGGGAUCCUUCCGUUUGUUACACUGCUAUCCCUUAGGUCAUCAGUCUUUUCUUCAACUUCCUGGUUGAAGUCAGGUUGUUGCCACAUACCAGCUUUUGGAAAAAAUUUCAGGGAAAGCAAUUUUCUUGCAGACAAAUAAGGCAGAAGUUCCACACAUCCCUUCUACUUGAAUUUCAUUGGCGAGAACUUAGUCUCAUGAAUAGGAAAUACAUGUCUCUAGCUGGGCAGCCAUGUCCAGGAAGAAGGAGGCAAUUGAGAAAGUGCUAGCAUUCCUUCCCAAGCAGAUAUUUGUUGGCUUUUGGGGUUUCCUCUUCCAUGACUCAGCUGGUAAUACAUUGUGCCCAUUUUAAUUUUGCUUUUUUUCUUAUUGUUUCAUAGGAAGCCUUCAUAUGCUCUAGAUUUGAUUACUUAUUUAUACAAGAAUUUUGAUUAUUUAAAUGUACCAGUAUAUAUACCUCAAUAAAGCUAUUCCAAAAUAUUCUCAUUUGUGACUUAAGCCAUAUCAUAUUCUUUAGAUAAAUUAAUAUUUCUUUUGUAAAGUGAAUAAAAUUACCGCAUCCCAAUUUUCUCUUUUCCAGAAAUAUAAUUUUACCUACUAACUUAAGAAAAAUUAUAGUUUCAUGAAAAUUUCUUUAGGCUGAUUUAAGUUGCUUAAAGUUAAAACAAGCAAAAAAAAUGUGGUUUCUUUGGUACUAUUGAACUCUCCAAGAAUAUUUGACAAUCUGUAUGAGAUUGUGGUGAUUUUUUUGACCACUCUGAAUUUCAGUUUUCUCAACUGCAAGUGUGAUAUUAAAUGCAGAGAAAAUGCUCUGUGGAAUGCCAAGUUUUUAAUUGUUAGGAAUUAGAAUUGCAAAUAGUAUUUCAAUAGCAUGCAGAAGAUUUCAUUUAAAAUGUCAAUAUCCUGUUUUCAGUUUUACUGUUAUAUUCUAUAUACCGUUAAACAGAUAUUCCAUACUCUGUGUCAGGGGCUGACAUUUGACAGUCACUGCCAUCUCUGGGUGUGUGUGUGCACAUGUGUGUGUAGGUGUGGUUGGAAUCACAGCCAUGUGCCCAGCCACAUCUAUGUGAGUCAAGACUCCCCUGAGAGCUGCCGUUAUUUUGAGCUGCUCCGUUCCUAAUGGCAACCUGAGAGGCUGGCUUUCCAGCCUGUUUUCAAGCAGUUCUCAGCUAAGCCACAUCACUGCAAGUGAUGCCUCAGAAUUUCUAUUGCUGCUUCAGACCAGUCCAGCUUGGCAUUCAUCACUGCCUUCCCCGGGCAGUUCUCAGUUUCCUGCAUGUCUCAUCCUGCCUGUCACACCAAGUGACAGCCUGUUAUAGUUGGGUGGGCAACACUAAAUGGCUGCUCCGUGGUUCAGCCCCACCCAUCAGUCCCUUUCCUGAGCAUCUCUGCUCUAGCACCGCCCUUCAUGGGGAGCCACAGGCUUUGCCGAGGAAAAAGAGGGCUGAUAGAGAUACAGAGAGAAACAGGAAUGCCCUGAGGUGUGAUUUUUAUGUUAUUGGUGAUAAACGAUCUAUAAAAUGUUAGAAAGGAGAAUUUAGCAACAUGGUGAAGAAGGGAGUUCUUUAAAGAGGAUAAAGAAAAAGCUUCAUAAUUUUGUUAAUAUGCUUGAAUUUAAUUUAAAAAUAAGGACAGUAGUACUCUUGUACCAAAAUGCAGAACAAUUAUUUCACGCUUUGUAACCCAGCCCUGUAGGUGUUAGGAAUGGCCCUGUGAGGAAGAGGAAGGGAACUGAAGUAACUAUGUGGUGGCCAGGGUCAGGAAAUUAGCAGAGUCAGGGUCUGUGUCCUCCCUCCUACCAAGGAGGGUAUUAGCACUGACUCAUUUCAUUAACAUUUAUUGAGCAACUUCUAUAUGCCAAGAGUUAUCCUGCCUGCUGGGAUACAGCAGAAACUGAAACAAAUGAGGUUAAAUCUUUUAUAUCUGGGAUUUUACUGCUUUCAUGGAACUUAUAUUGGGAUGACAGAGCAUGGAAGAGGUUAAUGGCCAGAAACACAUGGAAAGGCACAUGAUAAUUAAAAUAAAUAAACAAAUAGUUACAUAUCAGUUACUGGUAAAUGCUAAGUGUCAUAGUCCAUUUUGUGUUGCUAUAAUAGAAAACCAUAGAUGGCAAUUUAUUUAAAAAGGAAAUCUAUUCUUCACAGUUCUGCACCCUGGAGAGUCCAUUAUCAAGGUGGGGGCAUCUGGUGAGGGCCUUCCUCCUACAUCAUUUUAUGGCAGAAGGUGAACAGGUCAGAGUUUGCGAGUGCGAGUGAGCAGGAAGGGGCCAGACUUACUGUGAUAACAAGCCCACUCGAGAUAACUAACCCACUCCUGUGGUAAUGACAUUGAUCCGUGAGGACGCUGCCUUCAUGAUCUCAUCAUCUCUUAUUUAUCCCCACCUCCCAACACUGUUGCAUUGGGGAUUACAUUUACAACACGUGAACUUUAGGGGACACCUUUAAACCAUAGCACUGUGUAACUAUUUUUAAAAAGUGAUGUCAAAGCAACUGAGGUCAUCAAAGAAGAUGUUUCUGAAAAAAAAAAAUGUAAGCUGCUAUAGAUCAAAUGCUUAUGAUCUAUAGCACACCCCCUCCCACAUACACA
This is a long non-coding RNA of Sapajus apella (tufted capuchin), 4057 nucleotides long. RefSeq lists it as uncharacterized. The record is from RefSeq and is a predicted model, not a curated record. The transcript has 3 exons. Lineage: Eukaryota; Metazoa; Chordata; Mammalia; Primates; Cebidae.